CCUAGGGGUGGCAGCAGUGAGGAAUAUUGGUCAAUGGCCGCAAGGCUGAACCAGCCAAGUCGCGUGAGGGAUGACGGUCCUAUGGAUUGUAAACCUCUUUUGUCAGGGAGCAAAGGGCGCCACGUGUGGCGCUUUGUGAGUACCUUAAGAAAAAGCAUCGGCUAACGCCGUGCCAGCAGCCGCGGUCAUACGGAGGAUGCGAGCGUUAUCCGGUUUUAUUGGGUUGAAGGGGUGUGCAGGCGGAAUGUCAAGUCGGCGGUAAAAUUUCGGGGCUCAACCCCGUCGUGCCGUUGAAACUGGCGUUCUUGAGUGAGCGAGAAGUAUGCGGAAUGCGUGGUGUAGCGGUGAAAUGCAUAGAUAUCAUACAGAACACCGAUUGCGAAGGCAGCUUACCAAUCUAUAUCUGACGUUGAGGCACGAAAGCGUGGGGAGCAAACAGGAUUAGAUACCCCAGUAGUC
This 459-nucleotide ribosomal RNA is filed under the name uncultured bacterium. RNAcentral's name for it is "partial 16S ribosomal RNA". It matches the Rfam family "Bacterial small subunit ribosomal RNA", at positions 338 to 795 of the family's 1533-position model. The record is from RNAcentral.